CUGGCUCAGAACGAACGCUGGCGGCAGGCUUAACACAUGCAAGUCGAGCGCCCCGCAAGGGGAGCGGCAGACGGGUGAGUAACGCGUGGGAAUCUACCCUUGACUACGGAAUAACGCAGGGAAACUUGUGCUAAUACCGUAUGUGUCCUUCGGGAGAAAGAUUUAUCGGUCAAGGAUGAGCCCGCGUUGGAUUAGCUAGUUGGUGGGGUAAAGGCCUACCAAGGCGACGAUCCAUAGCUGGUCUGAGAGGAUGAUCAGCCACAUUGGGACUGAGACACGGCCCAAACUCCUACGGGAGGCAGCAGUGGGGAAUAUUGGACAAUGGGCGCAAGCCUGAA
Molecule: ribosomal RNA, 338 nt
Filed under: Rhizobium leguminosarum bv. viciae WSM1455
Lineage: Bacteria; Pseudomonadati; Pseudomonadota; Alphaproteobacteria; Hyphomicrobiales; Rhizobiaceae
Description: partial 16S ribosomal RNA
Rfam family: Bacterial small subunit ribosomal RNA
Source: RNAcentral